AAACGAUGAACGCGUCGACAGCAGCUGUACCGACUUGGCGCUGGCCCAUAAGUUUGAAGUUUUGGCGUGGCUGGAUCACCUCCUUAAGCCGAAUUCCAGCACACUGGCGGCCGUUACUAGUGGAUCCGAGCUCGGUACCAAGCUUGGCGUAAUCAUGGUCAUAGCUGUUUCCUGUGUGAAAUUGUUAUCCGCUA
This 194-nucleotide ribosomal RNA is filed under the name uncultured bacterium. Its description in RNAcentral is "partial 16S ribosomal RNA". The record is from RNAcentral.